GAUGAAGAACGUAGCGAAAUGCGAUAAGUAAUGUGAAUUGCAGAAUUCAGUGAAUCAUCGAAUCUUUGAACGCACAUUGCGCCCGCCAGUAUUCUGGCGGGCAUGCCUGUUCGAGCGUCAUUUCAACCAUCAAGCCCCGGGCUUGUGUUGGGGACCUGCGGCUGCCGCAGGCCCUGAAAAGCAGUGGCGGGCUCGCUGUCACACCGAGCGUAGUAGCAUACAUCUCGCUCUGGGCGUGCUGCGGGUUCCGGCCGUUAAACCCCCUUUAACCCAAGGUUGACCUCGGAUCAGGUAGGAAGACCCGCUGAACUUAAGCAUAUCAAUAAGCGGAGGA
RNAcentral lists this unclassified non-coding RNA (334 nucleotides) under soil metagenome. Its description in RNAcentral is "partial contains 5.8S ribosomal RNA, internal transcribed spacer 2, and large subunit ribosomal RNA". The stretch from base 1 to 120 matches the Rfam family "5.8S ribosomal RNA", at positions 35 to 154 of the family's 154-position model. The record is from RNAcentral.